RNAcentral lists this ribosomal RNA (253 nucleotides) under uncultured bacterium. RNAcentral's name for it is "partial 16S ribosomal RNA". It matches the Rfam family "Bacterial small subunit ribosomal RNA", at positions 524 to 776 of the family's 1533-position model. The record is from RNAcentral.
UACGGAGGGGGCUAGCGUUGUUCGGAAUUACUGGGCGUAAAGCGCGCGUAGGCGGACCUGCAAGUCGGGGGUGAAAGCCCGAGGCUCAACCUCGGAACUGCCUUCGAUACUGCGGGUCUCGAGUCCGGGAGAGGUGAGUGGAAUUCCUAGUGUAGAGGUGAAAUUCGUAGAUAUUAGGAAGAACACCAGUGGCGAAGGCGGCUACCUGGCCCAAUACUGACACUCAGGUGCGACAGCGUGGGGAGCAAACAGG